CCCUUCCCCCUUCUUCUUCUUUGUCUUCUGUGUCUUUCUCAUUAUAUUUAUAUAUAUAUAUAUCUAUCUCCUUCAAGCUAGUAGCGCUUUCUCUCGCCAUUUUUUUCUGCUGAACACGGUGAAUGUUGAGGAUCUGCCACUUUUCUCAAAUUGAAUGAGAUGUAUGUUCAGAGAGGAUUUGCCGGAUUAUAGCAGAGUUUGAUUUUGGAAUUCUCAAGUGAAUUAGAUUUCCUUAGUUUCAUUGAUAUAUUCUAGCGUUCGUGAAGAUUUUUCCCUUCUUAAGAUACAUAUUUUUCUUGGAAAAUCACGGAUUUUGGAGCUCUGAACUUCGAUAGUCCUGUAUUACAGGGAUGAUCGUGGCCGACUUGAUUUUACAGCCAUAGUCGGAGACAGAAGCUCUGAAAUGUCGCCAUUAUUUGGAUUUUAGACAUAGAUUCGCAUUUCUGCAGAGUUUAAGAACUGAAAUCGGGAAGCUUUCUCCGUCUCAUGCGACAGCGGAACCAGAUUUAGGAAAUCGAAAACUCG
Long non-coding RNA from Arachis duranensis, 525 nucleotides. RefSeq lists it as uncharacterized. The record is from RefSeq and is a predicted model, not a curated record. NCBI's taxonomy places the organism in Eukaryota, Viridiplantae, Streptophyta, Magnoliopsida, Fabales, Fabaceae. The transcript is spliced from 4 exons.